AGGGCGCGCGGUGGAUGCCUAGGCUCUCGGAGGCGAUGAAGGACGCGAUAAGCCGCGAUAGGCCACGGCGAGGUGCAAGUAACCCUUGACCCGUGGAUUUCCGAAUGGGGCAACCCGGCCGUCUAGAUGACGGUCAUGCAUUAAUGCAGGCGAACGCGGGGAACUGAAACAUCUCAUUACCCGCAGGAGAAGAAAACAAAAUGUGAUUCCCCCAGUAGUGGCGAGCGAACGGGGAAGAGCCCAAACCGCUGCCGUUUCGGCGACAGCGGGGUCAUGGGACCGCGAUACUCGACGGAAGACGAAGUGCAAUUACCUGGAAAGGUAAGCCGUGGAGGGUGACAGCCCCGUGCACGACACCUCUUUCAAAGAUAGCGGUAUCCCGAGUAGGGCGGGACACGAGAAAUCCUGCCUGAAUUCGCCAGGACCUCCUGGCAAGGCUAAAUACUCCCGAGAGACCGAUAGUGAACCAGUACCGCGAGGGAAAGGUGAAAAGUACCCCGAGCAGGGGGGUGAAAUAGACCCUGAACCCGCGCGCCUACAAGCGGUCGGAGCCAUGAAAUAUGGUGACGGCGUGCCUUUUGCAUAAUGAGCCUACGAGUUAGUCGUCACCAGCGAGGUUAAGGGCUUCAGGCCCGUUAGCCGAAGUGAAAGCGAGCCUUAACAGGGCGUCGAGUUGGUGGCGCUAGACGCGAAACCUUGUGAUCUACCCACGAGCAGGUUGAAGUCGCGGUAACACGUGAUGGAGGACCGAACCGGUAAACGUUGAAAAGUUUUCGGAUGACUCGCGGGUAGGGGUGAAAGGCCAAUCAAACUGGGAAAUAGCUCGUACUCUCCGAAAUGCAUUUCGGUGCAGCCUGUGAUGUUCUGUUCCAGAGGUAGAGCUACUGGUUGGACGCGAGGGCUUCACCGCCUAUCAAAUCCGGAUAAACUCCGAAUGCUGGAACACGAAAUCAUGGAGUGAGCCCGCGGGUGCUAAGGUCCGCGGACGAGAGGGAAAGAACCCGGACCACCGGCUAAGGUCCCGGAUGGACAGUUAAGUUGAUCAAACGAGGUGGGAUCGCUGAGACAGCUAGGAUGUUGGCUUGGAAGCAGCCAUUCAUUUAAAGAGUGCGUAACAGCUCACUAGUCGAGCGAUCCCGCGUGGAUAAUACACGGGCAUCAAACUGUCAACCGAAGCCGUGGGGUUAGUUAAUGACUAACCGGUAGGAGAGCAUUCCUGCCAGCUUUGAAGGUCACCCGCGAGAGUGACUGGAGCGGCAUGAAAAGCAAAUGUAGGCAUAAGUAACGAUAAUGGGGGCGAGAACCCCCCACGCCGCAAGACCAAGGAUUCCCCGGCAAUGUCAAUCAGCCGGGGGUCAGCCGGCCUCUAAGGCUCACCCGAAAGGGGAUGCCGACGAGAAACGGGUUAACAUUCCCGUGCUUCUCGUCACCGUGACGCGGUGACGGGGUGAUGAAUGGACCGCGCGCUGACGGAAUAGCGCGUUGAAGGCCGUACCCGAUGAGGGUGGUAGUCAAGCACGCCACCCGAGGCGAGAGCCGAUAGUACCACGAGACUCCGGUCGAGUGGAUAGCGUCCAGGCAAUUUACCCCCUAGAAAACCCGCUAAACUUCAAGUGACGAGGAACCGUACUGUAAACGGACACACGUGGUCGGGUAGAACAUACCAAGGCGCUCGAGUGAUUCAUGGUCAAGGAACUAGGCAAAAUAGUCCUGUAACUUAGGGAUAAAGGACGCUCUAGUGAUAGAGCCGCAGAGUAAUGGCCCAGGCGACUGUUUACCAAAAACACAUGGCUAUGCCAAAUCGAAAGAUGACGUAUAUGGCCUGACACCUGCCCGGUGCCGGAAGGUUAAGAGGAGAGCUCAUCGGAAACGAGAAGGUUUGAAUUGAAGCCCCGGUAAACGGCGGCCGUAACUAUAACGGUCCUAAGGUAGCGAAAUUCCUUGUCGGGUAAGUUCCGACCUGCACGAAUGGUGUAACGAUCUGGGCACUGUCUCGACCAUGAGCUCGGUGAAAUUGUAGUUCCGGUGAAGAUGCCGGGUACCCGCGACGGGACGGAAAGACCCCGUGAACCUUUACUGCAGCUUCGCGUUGUUCCCGGGCACGGGACGUGUAGGAUAGGUCGGAGGCUAGGAGUCGGUUUCGCCAGGAAUCGAGGAGCCAUCGUUGAAAUACGACCCUUCUCUUGUCUGGGAUCUAACCCAUGGUAAUGGGGACACCGCGUGGUGGGUAGUUUGACUGGGGUGGUCGCCUCCAAAAGCGUAAC
This 2264-nucleotide ribosomal RNA is filed under the name human gut metagenome. RNAcentral describes it as "bacterial LSU rRNA". It matches the Rfam family "Bacterial large subunit ribosomal RNA", at positions 14 to 2301 of the family's 2925-position model. The record is from RNAcentral.